RNAcentral lists this long non-coding RNA (7157 nucleotides) under Homo sapiens (human). RNAcentral describes it as "long non-coding RNA NONHSAT231884". The record is from RNAcentral. Lineage: Eukaryota; Metazoa; Chordata; Mammalia; Primates; Hominidae.
CAUUGGUUCCUGCUCUUCCUCUUAUCUCCUUAGCAUUGACUUGCCAUGGUAUAUCUGAGCUUGACCCUCUUCUCCUUAUCUUAAUGCUUCUGUAGCAAUCUUUCUGUCUUCUAUGAUUUCAAUAACUCUUUGAAUGAAGAUGAAUCCCAAAUCUUCACUUUUAGCCCCUACCUUUUGCUUUUCCUUCAUACACAUACUUCCAGUCACCUUCUGAACACUCAACUUCAUCUUGACUCAAAUAUCCAAAACCAUUGCUGCAAACCAACAUAAUCACCAACUUCCUCCUUUUGCUUAAUGGUAUCACCAUGUCUUCCGUCACCGAACUCAAGCUUUUCAGGCACUUUUGCCUCCUCCAUUUUCUUCAUCCUGCAUAUCUAAAAAUUUGAAAAGCCUACUAAUUCUUCCCCCUAAGGUUUCCAGUCUUUCCUUUUCAUUCAGACCCUUCCUUCUAGUCUGGAUUAUUUCAGCGUCUUUUAGCAUUGUUCCAAUAUUUUAUAUUUGAAUCUACUCUUGUCAGUACUCACUUCCUACAUAUAAAUCAGAUGUCAUUCUUCAGAUCAAGAAACAACCUUCAGUGGGCUUCACUUGCCGUAGUCUGCCAGCAAUAAUUUCUUGUUACUUGACUAUGUGUGUGUCCCAUAAUCCAGACAAGCUGAAUAACAUUUGUUUCACCUUUCCCUACCAGCUUGUUUUCCCACUUGCGUCUUCCCUUAAACUGUUCCCUUUGUCCAAAAUACUCUCCUUCCUAUCUCCCAUCUCACUCCCUUCUUGAAUAAUAUCCAUUCCCUCUAUAUAAGUCUUCAAAGACCAGAACAACUUCUUUAUCUUCCAUUCAGAAAAUAAUUUUAGGCAUUUUAUGAAUGCCCAUAACACUUUCGUUGUUUCUCCCUAGUGGCAGCUAUCAUGGGCCAUCUUAUUUCAUAGGUAUUUGGUUAUACAUCUCAUCUCUCCUGCUACAGCAUAAGCUCCCUGUGUUCAGGGCCAUGUAUUUUUAAAUCUUUUUAUCUCCUGUAGCACUAAACAGAGUGCCUUGUAUAUGAAAGGCAUUAGUAAAUAUUUGAUAUUAUUAUAAAUUAUAAUUGAGAAGGAGUCACUUUAUUUUGCCCAUUUGUAUCUGCAGUAGCACCUAAGGAUGAAUCCCCCCAGUUUCUCUAUAUAUAUCUGCACACACAAUCACAUGUAUAUACUACAUGUAUACAGUUCAUUAUUUCAAAUGGAAUCUGGAUUUUUCUAAGUGCUUUGUCCUUUUUCUAAGUGCUUUGUCCUUUGAAGUUGUUUUGGACUGUUUUAUGGUUAGGAAAGUGUACUUGGAACACUACAUGUGUUCAAGUAAGUGACAGAGGGAGAAACUAUGAAGGAUAUUGAUCAAAUUUUAGGUAUCAGCUUUUCAGAUGCUUUGGGUAGAGCUUGUAUCCAGACACUUUACUACCAAGAUUGAGUCUCUAAUAACCUGAUCCAUGCUGGGACUGAUCUGUGAUCCAAUAUUUAGCUUCUUUUUUAACACUUUCAGCACCAAAAGAACCUUGUCACAGUUCUGGCUCACUAAUCACACAGCCUUGUAGACCCCAGGUGGUGGUCCAACAGGACCACUGUAUUUCACCACACGCUACUUCCACAUUUGUGGCCUUGGGGGAACUGUCUGUGCUGGUCACCACCUUGUCUUUAUAUUUCUUUCCUGAGUUCUUUGGCUUCUCACCCUUUCUGAGGCUUUGUCUACAGGAUCACUUCUCCCAAAGGGAGGAUAAGAGUUGAGGUAAUUGAGCACUUUACCUCUUAUCUGUAUAUUUACAAUGAAAGUAAGUUAGGAUUUGAAUGAGCUGGCUCAGAGAGAAUGCUAGUCUCUAAACUACUCCUUUCUCUGUAAAUAUAAAGGGAUUCAUUACCUCAGGGGGAGACAACAUCACUUCUGACCUUAUGGCCCUCCCUUAUCCUCUGGUCCCUGUAUUCUUGAAGCCCUGUUAACCCUUCCUCCUCCUCUCUUGGCUCUACUUAGCAAUCUAUCAAUCAUUCUUUCUAGCCAGUGUCAGUCUCUGUCCCUCUGAAGAAACUCUUGGAGCUCGUACUGUCCUUUCACUUCAGCUGCUCUGGUAACCGAUAAUGUUUUCGUUCCUUCUCCCGGCCAGCCUUCUCUGUAAAUCUCAUUAUGCCAUUGGCUAUGAAUUAUUCCCCUUUGGGAGGCAUCUUCUGCCACUGUGUGCUAAUUUAAAGCAUACUAUAGAGAACUGAACUCAAAUAAGUUACAGGCAGUGACAAGUCUCUUUUUUUAAAAAAAAAGUGAAGAAAGUCCACUCUUCAUUGAGACAGGAGUGGGUAGGACAAUUAUUAUUGGCAAGGUAGGGCAAAACUUGUGACAACUUGGGAGAUACCUAGUGAAAAUUAAAAUAUAAGUCUAGAGAGAUAAUUUUGCUUUUCAAAAGUCCUAUGGGGUCUAGAUAGCCUUGCUCCUGAAAAUGAGAAUAGUUAAUAUUUUAGAGCAAAACCCAUUUCAUUAUACUAUGAGACUUUUUUUUUUAGCUGAUGAAACAAAUUAUCUGGUAAACAGCUGGUGGGAGGGUAGGAAGACAGCCAUCCUCAUGAAGGACGUUCAUGAAUCUCAUUUGGGCCAAUAAAUGGACCAAAAUUCUAGGCAUUUUAGCCAUGAACUGUUCAUGUCAAUUAUUUUGCCUACAAAUACCCAUAAAAGGAAAGGGAGGAUAUGAGGAAGGAAAAGAACAGGAAGUCUACACUGGAGCUUCCUUUUGUGUCACCAAUAAAGCCAGAAGCUGACAUGUGAGGCACAUGGUUCCCCCUUGGUUACUGGCUUCAAUGAUAGCUUCGGAAAGUAGGGAAACUUGAAAGAGCAAGGACCAAAGCGGAGAUGAGUGAGGAACCUGAAUGCAACCUUAUGUGUGAGGUCCUGAUAUCCACAAGGAACCUGGCCCCAUGUCAUUCCUGCCCAGGUCCUUCAGAUUACAGCACCCAAGGAGCCCUUGAUCAUCACCCUGGGCAGAGGGAGUGACUUAUCACACCACCCUUACCCACAGAAUUUAGGCCACCAGGCUGUGACUCCAUCUGUCCCCCUUGCAGUAAGAGAUUCAUAGUCUCUGAAAUCUGACAGGAGAACAGCAUCAGGGGAAGGGGCCACAGGAAUGCGAAUUUGUUGAGCUGCCUGCUCCUCUAGGAUAAGUAUAUUACCUGUUUCCAGAGGGGAUUGUUUUUUUUUCGAAAUGAAACAAAACAUGCCUGCCUAAAACUUCAGCCCUAUUCAGAACAGUCUUGCAGUUAACUGUCAUUGUCACAUUUUAAUUGUAAUUGAUUUUCUUUUGAAAUCCAUGGCUAUUUUAAUGCUCCCUUUGACCAUGACAUAAGAACCCUCUGCAAACCAGAGACCUGGCCAUUAGGUUGCCUCUGGCUGAGUUAUACUCUCAGUAGUUUAUACUUUGCUCUCAGAUAUUCACCUGAACAGCACAACUACACAGAAUUUGAUCUCUUUGCCAUGAGCAUUCUGAUGCCUAUGUACCUCCCUAAUGCACACACACAAUCUUAACAAAUAGAUCCAAAUUUCCUAUGUCAAUCAUGUUAUGGUAGAUGAAAGUGUUCAUUUAGAAUGGGAUAAAGAGACAUAUCAUAAUUUAUGCAGCCAGUGUUUUCUCUUUGCUCUACCUGGCUUGUGGAUCAUUGAUCCCUCAAGGUUUGACAGAAAUAUUCAGGCUUCAUGUGAAGGCAGCAUGUUCUUUGUGAUGAAACAACCUAGUUAUCGUCUCCAUUUUCCCAUUUUACCCUAUGGAAUCCAUGUGGCCUUCUAAGGUCCUGUUGAUGGACUGGUACUAAGAGGAUGGAGAAGCAGAAGCCAGUCCCCCUGAGAACAGACAGUCCUGUUGCUUAGAUACAUACAUAUUCGCACAUGUGCCCACAUCUCUUCUUGGAAACAUCAUGAGCAGAGGUGGAGAGGUCUGUUCUCAAUGGGAGGAAUAAGGGUAGGAGAAUUCCUUGAGAAUCCCUAUUCUCAAGGAAUAGGGAUAAAUGCCUUCACGGAUUCAAUAAUUUAUCUGUUCUCUCUCUCCCAGGGUCAGGAGCAAGAAAAAUAUCAAGGUUUCACAUAGGCAGGAAGCAAGGAGGAUAGUGAAGCAUCUAGGUGGAGGUGGAACUCUUACUGAGAAAAACAUGAAGUAGUAAAAUCACCCUUUCUUUGAUAUAAAUGCAUUUAGAAGUCAAUGAGGGCACUUACAGCUGUGUUUCCCUUCACUAACUUUUCAUCUCUUGCAUUCUUUACUUCUCUUUCUCAAUUUAUUCAUCUUGAGGUAUACUUAUCCUGAGUUGACUCUGAGCAGCCCAUCCUCAAAACACAAACAAUGUUAGGAUGAGAAGUUGAGUGAGCACAGAGCUCGAACACGUGCAUGGUACUUAAUGUUUCCAAACUCGAGCCCAAUCAGUCUAGCACAGUCAAUCCCACUGCAUUUUAAUGACUAGGAUGGGGCCUGCUGUACAUAGCUGGACAUCUUGGAUUACAGAAAAGAGGCUUUAUGUGAAGGCAGCAUUUUCUUUGUGGUAGAGCAACAUAGUUAUCCUGCUAACUGUCCUAUUUGACCUGAUGGAAUCCAUAAGGUCCUGUUGAUGGGUUGGUUCUAAGAGGAUGGAGAAGCAGAAGUCAUUCUACUGAGAACAGACAGUCCUGUUGCUUAGAUACAUACAUAUUCUUUAUGACAGAAUUCCUCCUGAGACUCUUGCACACCUUCAGUGAUCAGCGCAUUCACUUUGGUUAUUUCUUGGUAACAGGCACGAGAAAUGGGUCACAUAGAAAUCUGAAGAGUCAUUUCUCGAGCAUUUUUAGCUUAUUCCCAUGUAAAGAGGCACUGAGCUCCUGCAGUUCUAGCCUGCCUCUGCUCCCCUCCUUGGGGAAUGGUGGAGUUUCUAGGAUAACCAGCAACCCAUUAGGCUCCACCACACUUAGCCUAUGGUACAUUCUGAGUAAAUCACAGUAGUUGGUAUGUGAAUACAGAAGAAUUUACCAUAACCACUUCUCCAAAUAACCUCCUUUGACUUGGAAAUAAGAUCAUCUUUCAGUUUUACAGAUGAGAAGUCAAAGCACAAAAUUGGAUAAUUAGCCAAAAGUAAGAUUAUACAGAAAAUUCUUGACAGAACCAAAACUUGGCUGAACCAAAACUUGUCCAAAUUUCUAACUCUCAGUCUAGCUCAGCGAGUAAUGCUGCCUGAAUUGUCUGCCCCCACUGUAGGUUUUCAGCAUCUAGCAGUGGAGAAAAGUCACGAAAUCUAGGCAGCUGAUUUAGCCAGAUCUUAUCUAUGAAAUUUCCCUUUGUAGACACACACACACUCCACAUACAUCUACAGAGACAAGUCAAAAAGAGCAAGAAGAAAGCAAAAAUUUGAAAAUCAGAAAGGUUAGAGAGGUUUCCACGGUGAAGAAAACUUGGUCAAAUAAAAAUGUUUUUGAAUUCUAUAGGGUAAGAUAUUGUGAAUAAUUUUUUAUUAUUAAAAAUUUUUUUUAGGUAGCAUGUAAUCCACAUAAAUAAAAAACUCAAGAAUAAACUGGGACAGAGGAUUUCUUCCAGAGUGCUACAUGGCAAAAGAGCCUUCAGGAACGUGUGCAGGGGUGUCAUGAUACUCCGAAGGUGUCAGUAGUUUUGGUCAGCCCACAGUGAGCAGGGCAGCCUCAAGGGAGAGCCCCUUACAUCCUUUUCUGGGCACCUCUGUCUAAUUAAGUUCAAACAUACAAGCCUGAUUCUAGGAUUAAGGCAUAAGUUAGUUCUGAACAGAAAAAUAUAAGGCAGUUCACAUACACAAUGAAUUCUUGAAGAAAGAACCUAUAGCCCCCAGACCGAUAAUAAAUAAUUACUGCCUGCCAAAAUCCUGAAGAAAGGGAAGCAUGGGGGCUCCAAAAUUAAUAGUCUCCUGAGAAUACUUAUGAGACCUUGAUUUUGUCACAAGGUUGCAAUGGUGAAUUAUUUAUUAAGCACCCGCAGAUCAGAGAAUCUUGCAACAACCUUCUCUUACAACCCACCUGUUCACUUAUGAAUGAUAUCAAGCUCAGGAUAUAAUCCAUCUUUCCAAAGAUUUUAGUAUCUUUAGUUUGGGCUGCAGAAGAAAUUUUGGCUCACAGCAUUAUGCUUAAACCAAAAACAGUGAAAGAGCUCUAGUGUCCUGCUUAAUGUAGAGUAACUUUUUUUUUUUAUCAGUCCUUCCUAGCCCUAGAGGGAAGAUAGGAGAGGAGGUAGGAAGAUGGAAAAGUCCUUAGAUGAAUGAGUGAGGAGACUUCUAUACCAUCAACUUCAGAGUGUACUGAUCCCCGGAGCCUGGUUCAGGAGGCUAGUUUCAGAUGAUCGGAGGAAAUGGAGGAGGUAGCUUUUAUUCCCAUGCAUGAAGAUGGGGGGAGGAGGUGGGCACUAGACUAAUUUUUUAAUCUAAAAAAAAUCAAGCCUAUUACAAAUCUCAUUUUUCCCUUGUCCUUUUGCCUCCCAAUAAUUCACAUAAAAUCGUGUUAUCAUAGUAAGCUAAGAGAGAGGGGCAGUAGCUAUUUCUACCUUGACUCCGUGGUGACUUCAUCUUUUUCAUGAGUGUCAUUACAGAUACCUGGAUCAUGAUGAUCCUGAAAAACAGGUCACAGGGCCAACAGCUGAUGAGUAUUUGGAGCAUCUUAUUCCCCCAAGAUGACCACUCCCUGUCUUCUGCUACACCUAUAUUCAUCGGGGGGGGGAGGUGGGAAAAUAGCAGGAUUCUUGGGGACUCUGAGGGCAUGAAUGGAGAAUUAUUUGAUUGAAACCACAGAGCUCUUGUACUUAGUAUUAAAUAUUAAAAUAGAAAUGAAAAGUUCAGCUUUUCUGAGCUGUACCAUAGCGGCCAAUGGAGGAAGUCUUACAAAGAAAAUCUAUAUCUGCACAAGACUGAAGCCACUAAACCGAGUAUACACAACAUAAAGAUAUCUUCCUAUUUCAAGUAUCCCUUAGGGGGCAUGGGUGCUUAGCUAUCCUAUGAAAGACAGAGAAGAUAAGCUCAAUUUUAGAGCCCAGAGCUUGCUCCGGAACAGCAAGAUCCACAUGAACUUAAACUCUUUCCCACUGAGCCUAGGGGUGGAAUGUAAUUCCUCUGAUGGUUUUGAUUUAUUUCCAAGCUAGACUUCUCUAUUUGAUCAUUGGCACCUUGGCAGCUCACACAUCUCCGUG